AUUGAACGCUGGCGGAAUGCUUUACACAUGCGAGUCGAACGGCAGCACGGACUUCGGUCUAGUGGCGAGUGGCGAACGGGUGAGUAAUGUAUCGGAACGUGCCCAGUCGUGGGGGAUAACGCAGCGAAAAUUACGCUAAUACCGCAUACGAUCUAUGGAUGAAAGCGGGGGAUCGCAAGACCUCGCGCGAUUGGAGCGGCCGAUAUCAGAUUAGGUAGUUGGUGGGGUAAAGGCCCACCAAGCCAACGAUCUGUAGCUGGCCUGAGAGGACGACCAGCCACACUGGAACUGAGACACGGUCCAGACUCCUACGGGAGGCAGCAGUGGGGAAUUUUGGACAAUGGGCGAAAGCCUGAUCCAGCCAUUCCGCGUGCAGGAUGAAGGCCCUCGGGUUGUAAACUGCUUUUGUACAGAACGAAAAGGUUUCUACUAAUACUAGGAGCUCAUGACGGUACUGUAAGAAUAAGCACCGGCUAACUACGUGCCAGCAGCCGCCGUAA
RNAcentral lists this ribosomal RNA (500 nucleotides) under uncultured bacterium. Its description in RNAcentral is "partial 16S ribosomal RNA". It matches the Rfam family "Bacterial small subunit ribosomal RNA", at positions 30 to 523 of the family's 1533-position model. The record is from RNAcentral.